GAGACGCAAUUGAGCAAGACCUAGCCUGGGGUCUCCGCACGAGCCCCUUCUCUCUUUGACGCCGCCGCCUCCUCUCCUCUCUCGAUUCUCCUCGUGCCGCCGCGCCCGCUCCAAGCCCCUCCUCUUCCGCGUGCCAUCGGCCUCCCUCCUCUGCAUCUCUCCUCGUCGGCCGUCGCUCCUCGUCACGGAUCUCCUCGUCGCGGUUGCAGUGGCCGAACAAGACGAAGAGAAGCUGCAACGUCGGGUCCGUGCAGCGGCCUCCUCCUUGCGGAGGUCGGAAGAGGAAGAUAUGCUCUUCCAUGGCGUCGAGAGGGGGAGGAGGCGCUUCUCUUGCUAGAUCCAUGGCCACCAUGUCGCCAUCGACGUCGCCCAGCUCCAUGGCUUCCACUCUCCUUCUCAGGCAGGCGAUGGUGCGCGGCAUGGCCAGGCGUGACCUGCGCAAGCAGCACCGCUGAUGAGGCACAUGUUGUGGGCUAGCAGUGAUUGGAGGGCACGCCAUUGCAGAUCCUCAUCAUUUCUCUAGGAGAGGAUCUCGUCGAUGAUCCAUUUUUCUCCAUGGAUUCGCGAUGUAGGUGCUCGAGGAGGAGCUUCUUCUCUGGACGCCAUGGAAAUCUUCAAGGUGCGCCUCCCCUCCCCCUUCCCCUCCUGUGUAGGUGUUGGAUCAUGGUUUGGCAUUUAAUCUUCAAAAUUUAACUCCUUGAUUCCCCAUGUACUGCGGAUUCCGCGGGAGAGGAACACGCGGUUGAAGAACUCAACAUGGAGGAUCUGAAACCUCGCAAGGAAGAAGGAGAGGACAUCUCUCUCUCUGUUUCUCACUCUGGAAUGACGUGAUCCAAGCCCCAGAAUCCAUGUGGCAGCACGACAUGUACUCGAAUGCCUCUGCGAGAAGCGGCGGUGGCGGGAUGGUCUCGGCUGUUGAGACCGUCACCAAGCUCUUCAUCACCAAUUUGUACUUUGGUGUUUCAACUAAGGACGUGAAGAUUCACAUUUAGGAUCAUUACCAAAAGAUGAAGAACAAAAGGUUGACCAAUCUCAGUGUGACACUUGAGGAAGCUCAACUUAUGAUGGAUCAAUAGGUUUAGGAACUCCAGCCAUAUACACCUAAUGCGUCAUUCUGCUUUGGAGCAUAAAGAUCUGAUGUCAAAUAUAGCUUAACCAACCUUGUUGUUCCUAUAAUUGUUUUUGAAUUCUGCUCACAUAGAGUAUAUUUUAUGUAUGCAAUUCUUGAAUUGUCAUGUUGUACUAAACAAGGCAUUUUGAUAAGGUCCUCCAAUAUGGAUAAUUUUAUGAUCAUAGUAUCUGAACUAAACAA
This is a long non-coding RNA of Triticum aestivum (bread wheat), 1312 nucleotides long. RefSeq lists it as uncharacterized. The transcript is spliced from 4 exons. The record is from RefSeq and is a predicted model, not a curated record. Lineage: Eukaryota; Viridiplantae; Streptophyta; Magnoliopsida; Poales; Poaceae.